AGUCGAACGGAUCCUUCGGGAUUAGUGGCGGACGGGUGAGUAACACGUGGGAACGUGCCUUUUGGUUCGGAACAACUCAGGGAAACUUGAGCUAAUACCGAAUGUGCCCUUCGGGGGAAAGAUUUAUCGCCAUUAGAGCGGCCCGCGUCUGAUUAGCUUGUUGGUGAGGUAAAGGCUCACCAAGGCUACGAUCAGUAGCUGGUCUGAGAGGAUGAUCAGCCACAUUGGGACUGAGACACGGCCCAAACUCCUACGGGAGGCAGCAGUGGGGAAUCUUGCGCAAUGGGCGAAAGCCUGACGCAGCCAUGCCGCGUGAAUGAUGAAGGUCUUAGGAUUGUAAAAUUCUUUCACCGGGGACGAUAAUGACGGUACCCGGAGAAGAAGCCCCGGCUAACUUCGUGCCAGCAGCCGCGGUAAUACGAAGGGGGCUAGCGUUGCUCGGAAUUACUGGGCGUAAAGGGAGCGUAGGCGGAUAGUUUAGUCAGAGGUGAAAGCCCAGGGCUCAACCUUGGAAUUGCCUUUGAUACUGGCUAUCUUGAGUAUGGGAGAGGUUAGCGGAACUCCGAGUGUAGAGGUGAAAUUCGUAGAUAUUCGGAAGAACACCAGUGGCGAAGGCGGCUAACUGGCCCAUUACUGACGCUGAGGCUCGAAAGCGUGGGGAGCAAACAGGAUUAGAUACCCUGGUAGUCCACGCCGUAAACGAUGAGUGCUAGUUGUCGGCAUGCAUGCAUGUCGGUGACGCAGCUAACGCAUUAAGCACUCCGCCU
Molecule: ribosomal RNA, 767 nt
Filed under: uncultured bacterium
Lineage: Bacteria
Description: bacterial SSU rRNA
Rfam family: Bacterial small subunit ribosomal RNA
Source: RNAcentral